This 1102-nucleotide long non-coding RNA is filed under the name Cricetulus griseus (Chinese hamster). Its description in RNAcentral is "lncRNA (ENSCGRG00015040622.1)". Lineage: Eukaryota; Metazoa; Chordata; Mammalia; Rodentia; Cricetidae. The record is from RNAcentral.
AAAUGUCACCAGUAAGCAAAGCCUCACUGUCUGGGUGUCAUCUGGCUUGUCUGUGCACUCCCGGAUCACAAUUGCAUAUGUGAAACUGGUCACAUUGGACACCAUGCUUCCACUGACCACAAGAAAACGCCUCCUGCCCCAGGACCCUGCGGGUGGUCACACUUUAGCAGUUGUGUCUGCCUGCACCACAGGAUCCUCCUCAGCAGCUUUACGCCAGCUGUCCUGGGCUUAUUUCCUCCAGGCUGGACAUGACUGUGGCCAUAUCGAAUGAGAGCAGCUGUGUCGCCCAUUGAAGACACUCGAGAGACAGGUCCAGCCUGCUGACACCCCCUUAAGAGGAAGGGAGGACCACACGGAACACAGCUCCCACACGAACCCACUCCUUCCCCACUGGCAUGUGGACUGGGGACUGGGACCCCAGGACUCUUUAGCACGCAGCUUUUCAUGAAUCAUCCUUGCUACACAUGGGACUAUUCAUAAGUUGCCCAACGGUAUGGCUGCCUUUGUGUUAUCAGUGUUCCAACUGUAAUGACAGUUCACGGGGUGGAGCUGGAUGGGAUUGAUCUUUGGUAUGCAGGGUCCUCUGUCUCUCUUCACAGGAAGAGUCACACAACAGCAGUUUGCAUUUGCUGGCCACAGCUCUAACACCUCUCCUCCGGCUGGCCUCAUCUAAUGCCUAGCACUAAAUACUGUUGUACACUCAUGGUGUAGUAUUCCCAGCUAUGGCUCUCCCCUGAGCUGCAGAAUGCAUUUGGCUUUCUCCCUCAGCCUCCACUGGAACAUCCGAGGGUGCCUCAGACAGGGGAGUCAGCUCAGUCACUGCUUCCCAGUAGCUUCCUACUUCCCACCAAGUACAAAUCCAAUGUCUGACCUGAUCUGCAACCCCAGCCUGGCGUUUCUGUGGGCGCACCCACGCCUCCUGCACCCACCACGAUGGCUUCCACAGACAGAGGGCAGCCUCCACUUGAGGACAGCUGUCUGCUUCAUCUGUCUGGAAGAUUCACCAGGGGUCUUCAUGGCUUCCUGCUUCACGUCCUCCCUGAGUACCUUCUUUUUGGUUUUUAAGACCAUCCUGGAACUCACUCUGUAGACCAGGUUGGCU